This 331-nucleotide ribosomal RNA is filed under the name uncultured eukaryote. RNAcentral's name for it is "partial 18S ribosomal RNA". It matches the Rfam family "Eukaryotic small subunit ribosomal RNA", at positions 1470 to 1796 of the family's 1831-position model. The record is from RNAcentral.
CCCUUAGAUGUUCUGGGCUGCACGCGCGCUACACUGAUGCACUCAACGAGUUUACGACCUUGCCCGAUAGGGUUGGGUAAUCUUUUUAAAUUUCAUCGUGAUGGGGAUAGAUCAUUGCAAUUGUUGGUCUUCAACGAGGAAUUCCUAGUAAGCGCGAGUCAUCAGCUCGCGUUGACUACGUCCCUGCCCUUUGCACACACCGCCCGUCGCUCCUACCGAUUGAAUGGUCCGGUGAAGUGUUCGGAUCGCGCCGACGUGGGCGGUUCGCCGCCGGCGACGUCGCGAGAAGUCCACUGAACCUUAUCAUUUAGAGGAAGGAGAAGUCGUAACA